UUUCAGGCCAAAGCUUCAGUACGACCUGAUCAACAGGAUGAAACUUUAACACUGAGUAGGAGGCUUUUAUACAUCAGCUAACAUGUUGUAAUGAAACUUUUCCUCUGUGUAAAGUCACCAACUUUCUCCUGUAAAGUUCUUGAGUCAAAUUUACUUCAGUGUUUCCUUCAGGAGAGGAAAAAGUCUGCAUCACUAAGAGCUUUGACUGCAGGUGGAGGAGGAGAAGAAACAACAGAUGGAGAAGGAGAGAAGAAGAAACGCUGCCGAUGAACAGAAGGUGAGUGAUUUUAAAACAGGACUGUGAUUCAAAGUGCAGCUUAGGGCCUCUUUUUUAUGGUUUUAUGAUUUUCCAGCACAAUGAGACCAUGCAGGGCACCAAACUACCACCAUGAGCGUCUGCAGGGCGAGUGAUCAGUGCAGUGUUUGAUUGGCUCAGCAUUGUUCCAUAAAACAAAAGCCUGUUGUGCUCGGAAAGUCUGCUGAUCGAGCUGACUUUUAGAAUCCCAGCACUGUAGAGGAAAAAAAAGUUUGACAGAUAAAAACAACCACAACAGCAAGACAACAUAUAAAAGCAAGAAUGUGGUCAAAAUAUGAGAAACCGUCCUGUUUCUUUACUUUUCCUCCCCACACGUCUUUGAAAGUGAAACUCCUCUCUCCUCCUCUCCCACAUCUCUCGUUUGUCUCACAGCAGCUGAAACUCGAACCCCGGUCUGUGGUCAUUAACAGUGGGAGCCGCUUAGACUCUAAACAAGCUGUAUUUGAGGUCAUAACACCAGUCUGGAUUCUGGGCCAGCGUGACAUUACAGCCUGUUUCUUUGACCAGCAAUCCUGAAUGCUGUCUUUGUUCUCAGGUCCGUGAUACAGACUUCAUUGGGACCCCUUUCCACCCCCUGUGAAACAGAGACCAACACAUCCCUGAAUGGAGACGACAGAGAGAGAGAGAGAGAGAGAGACGUGGAGCAGUCAGGGGAAAAGUCCUCUGACUGUUUUCAGCCUUUACAGUGUUUGGGAUUUUCAGCAGCA
Non-coding RNA from Xyrichtys novacula (pearly razorfish), 1023 nucleotides. The record is from the annotation of a GenBank genome assembly. NCBI's taxonomy places the organism in Eukaryota, Metazoa, Chordata, Actinopteri, Labriformes, Labridae.